GUGUUUAUACAAACUUCCGGCAAAAGUAUUUGGGAGUGCACAGAGAAGCCUUGAAUCUACUGAGCUACACAAUCUUUAACACCUAAUUGUUUUCUACAAGCAGAAAGAGUGUUUUCAAAAAGGUUUAAUGUGUCACGUGUUUAUACAAACUUCCGGCAAAAGUAUUUGGGAGUGCACAGAGAAGCCUUGAAUCUACUGAGCUACACAAUCUUUAACACCUAAUUGUUUUCUACAAGCAGAAAGAGUGUUUUCAAAAAGGUUUAAUGUGUCACGUGUUUAUACAAACUUCCGGCAAAAGUAUUUGGGAGUGCACAGAGAAUCCUUGAAUCUACUGAGCUACACAAUCUUUAACACCUAAUUGUUUUCUACAAGCAGAAAGAGUGUUUUCAAAAAGGUUUAAUGUGACAGAAGAGGUCUGGUUUCAUCUCUAGAUUAAGGUGUCAAGGGAAGUAACCAGCAUUGAAAGCUUCCAAGAAAUAAAACGUGGACUUCAGAUUCAACUAAACGACGCCAGGAAUAAUUCAAAGUAAAUCUACCAUCACACCCACUGUACAGAAAUUCCUGGACUGGAUCUACCUCAACCACUCCGUAAAUUCCUGGAUCCACCACAUCUUCUUCUUCCACUAGGUUUGAAAUAUUCAUAUUAUUCAUGAUGUCGUAUUCAACCACAGCCCCCCACCUCUUCCUCGCAAACACAUAAAACAAGUUUUCUUUGAGCAUAUACCGGUAAAUAACUGAAAUAUAAAUGAGAUUAAAUGAUUAAGAAAACUAAGUUGAUGAUAAAUACAUUUAAAAGUAAAUAUUCCAAUAGCUUUUUAUUUUUGAAUGAUUCAUUUUCUGAGGUCAAUCCGUGGGACCAAAACGACUUGGGGUCGAAACUAUAGGAUGCCGAAACGACAAGCAUCACUGUGACGUAAAUCGAACAGACGAUAGAUCAGAGGCAGCAAAAUGAAGGAUAUUUUUACCCAUUUAUAUCGAUAAUGGUUCCCCGUGUAAGAAAUGAAAGUACAGAUACAGUGGAUGAGAGGAAGAAAGAGACAAACUUGGUCAUAAGGCUACAUAAUUCCUGCUACCUUUGGACCAGUGUUCUUGUAUUAAAUCAUGUUACCUUUGGGUAAGUGUUAUGGUAUUAAAUCAUUCUUGAAGUAAAUAAUGUGUACAUACAUUUUUUUUUUGUUAAUGGUUCCUAAAAAUUUAAAAACUUAGGGGAGUUGUUUUAUGUCAACAAACAACAUGUACCGGUACAUGUAGAUCUCAGUGAUUUCAGAGUGACCAAUCAUCAGACAGAACCACUCUGUCCUGGACCAACUGGUGACCUUGGGUGACCCCCAGACCCCUUCAUAUAAAAUUGGCCCCACUGAUGUUUUAAAGAUGAAUACAAAUUAUACAAAUAUUUUUAUUGGCACAAACACAAUUACAAUAAUUGGCAAAGACCCAGUGGAUAUAUAGGAAUGUCAUUGUAUAUUUACAAUAACUGCAUGUACAGUAUAUAUAUAUUUUACUGAUUUAUAUAUGUAACGGAGACACUUUUUGCCUCUGCUGGGGUUUGAACCCAGGUCCUCUGGCAGUCCAGCACUCUACCGAUCAAGCUAAAGGGUUAACCCACUAGCCAGAGCUAGUAGGAAUGCCAUAUACCUGACUCUACCACAUAUAUAUCAGUUUAACAUUUCCUUAGACUAAAUUGACAUCUGUGUUCAAAGAAUGUCUUUAAUGAAUUUAACAGUAAUUUUUAAAAUAGUGUGUAUUUCACUAUUUAAACAUACAUGUAAAAUGUAUCUUUCUCCAAGUUAUUGGCAAUAUUUAUCAGUCCCCUACCGGUUUUCACGUCAGUCCGUCCGUCUUCCCACUUCAGUUUUCCACACUUUUUUUCUUUAUGCGUUUGAGGAACAAUACAGAUCAGGUUUACACUUUUGUAGCGUCUGGUUGACAUAUUUUUGAGAAAAUUAAUUGUUUAUGUUCCAAUUUUUUAAUGUUCGGGUUAGAUAUUCUGCAUAACAGUGCAUUGUUUUCACAAUUUCCACAAACCGGUAGGGGACGUGUAUUCCUUAUGCAAUACUCUCAGAAUGCUUGUUUUAAUUAUAUUAUAAAAAUUACUAAAAUAGUUUUUCCUUAGAUGAGAAUAGGCUUAAUAUACAAUGAAAAAGGAAAUGAGUUUCAUCUUCAAUUAAAUAUAAAUAAAUGAAAAAAAGGAUUCUUAAGUUCCUUUGAAAAUUUUGUCAAAUUCACUGGCCAAUGUGAUUUUAGAUUUCAUUAGUCUAAAAUAUUAGUGCAAUUCAAUCUUUAAGUUGACAGGCUAAAUGUUUAUGAAAAUUCAUGAAUCAAUGUUGGUUUUCAUUACUUAUGUCAGUUUGAAAAAAGAAAAGAAAAUAAUACCUAAAUUUCCAUUAAAGCGUAGAGUAAUAUGUGAAUUAUUGUAAACUGAUGGGCUGUAUUGCCCAAGGUUGAAUUUCUGAAUAGAUAAAUUAAUAUUUCCAUUAAAGCAUUAAACCUCUAUGGCAUGUUAUAUUAAUGUUGAACCUGAGGACAACUUAAAUAUAAAUGUUUAUGUAAAUACAUUCAUCAAUGUUGACCUUUAUUACUUACAUGUACAUGUAUCUAAGCUGGAAGUUAAUAUGAUAUUGUCACUGUCACUCACUGAAUUAUUUAUUUAGGAUAUAACAGUUUGUAAUAUUUUGUGGUCU
Molecule: long non-coding RNA, 2681 nt
Organism: Magallana angulata
Lineage: Eukaryota; Metazoa; Mollusca; Bivalvia; Ostreida; Ostreidae
Exons: 6
Source: RefSeq, a predicted model, not a curated record